This 336-nucleotide long non-coding RNA is filed under the name Setaria italica (foxtail millet). Its description in RNAcentral is "long non-coding RNA (SITA_LNC005701)". The record is from RNAcentral. Lineage: Eukaryota; Viridiplantae; Streptophyta; Magnoliopsida; Poales; Poaceae.
CUCUUCAUGGUUCAGACCUAAAAUAAAAGUUACACAAGUUUCAGCUGCUACUGCUAUCAUAUAUUCACAUUGUCCUAAAUUCAUGAGCAUUGGCAUUUUGCAAGUUGCUAUGCUAUCCCAAUUUCACAAACAAUUGGAAAUGCUCACCUCAAUUUGUAGAUUGAGCUGCAGAGGAAUGGAGCGCUGGAACUGUGCCUCCCUCUCCUUGCUGGUUGCUGCAGGCAGCAGGCUAUAGCCGCCCUUCGCGGCUCUGCCUUUGGCUUUCAGUGGCGUCCCUCGUUGUCAUCGAUUCGCCGGGUGAAGGACGAAGGAGACUAGGAGAAGACCACUCCGCCG